This 5013-nucleotide long non-coding RNA is filed under the name Sus scrofa (pig). RNAcentral's name for it is "lncRNA (ENSSSCG00000053754.1)". The record is from RNAcentral. Lineage: Eukaryota; Metazoa; Chordata; Mammalia; Artiodactyla; Suidae.
UGACACAGAUUAUAGACCCAAGCUAAUAAAAAGAUUCAUUUUAAAAGAUCAUUGUGCCAACAACAAAAUAAAUGAAUACUAAAUCAAUGAUUUACAAUAUAUCAGUGUCCUACACACUGCAAAAUAACAAAGUAACUAAAGGACCCCACUGCUUAUCUCUCCCUUCCUUUUAUUAUGCUGCAUUUUGUGACUCUGGGCAGUAUUUAUAUUCUGAACUGAAAUUCUAAUACCACAUAAAACAUGGUAGUAACAGCUUUAAAAAUCAUGAUGCCAAUUUCUUUACUAACCCUAAAAACACUGCGAACCACCAGGCUGUCCCCAAAUUGGUGUUGCCCCUGAGAGGAGGCAAAAGUCACACAUCAAAAAGGUCUGGACCUUUCUUCCAGUCGUGGCCCCCGUUGCAGGGUAUUUUCAACUGCAGCCUGAGGAGGAGCUGCAAAUGGGCAGUGGCUGGAAAAAUGGGACCUAAUCUCUGGCAUAGCAGGGUGUUUCCUGAUCAUUGUGCAAUUAACAAAAGGGGGGAUAGUAAGAAAGCAGGUGAGGGGAAUAGAGGAGGACCACGGAUUUUCUUUCUCUUAGGAAGAAAUCCUAUUUUAAGUACAAUAUCUUCAAGCCAGGGGAAGAUCAGAUGGAACUGUCGUAGGGUAGGGGGGUUCCUCAUGACCCACAUCCCCAGCUUUUUUACCAACAAUCUCCCACCCCAAAAAAUCACAUGAAAUAAUUGACAAACAUAUAUUAUCGUAAAUUGUGAAAUGUAAGUUUUUAUUGAGAUGGCGUAAAAUUUUUCUUGGCUGCACCUGCAGUAUAUGUAAGUUCCCAAGCUAGGGAUGGAAUCUGAGUCACAGCUUCAAUUUCAGUCACAGCUGCAGCAACACUGGAUCUUAACACACUGUGCCACAGCAGGUACUCUGAGAGGGUAAAAAUCAGCAAAAUGCUAAGAUAAAAAUAAAGACAAAGAUGAAAAAUAGAUACUACUAUCAGGUCAAGUUACCUACUAAUACUGUGGCCAAAUAUUCUCUCCUCUUCCCCCAAAGUAUUUUAUACGGUUAUUGUAUGAAGAGGGAAAGAAAUGUCAUGGACAUUUAAAACUCAAUUUGUCCUGCCUUCAAAAUACACAUAGGACACAGGAACCAAAUGAAAGCAGUCCCUGUGCCCAAACCUGCAACAAUUUGAGCAAAUAAAUUCAAAAAGUAGUAUGUGAUUAUAAUCUAAAGCAUAAAAUAAAUAUCUAUGAGUCCACACUAAUAUAAAUAAAUGACUGAAUAAAUCAAUAGCUGGAGAGGAAGGGACAGUUCUGCAUAGAAGGAGGUAAGGAAAGCAGUCACUCCACCCUCAAGGAGAUGGAGAGUCAUCCCUGCCCCCCAGGGCUCCCUCGGUGGGUGUCGGCUAUGCAUCGUACAUCCCUAACAAAGGAUGCAAGAUGAAAUGGCAAAAAGAGAACUUUACAGCAGAGAAGUCUGACAAACACCACCUCACCAAGUGAUCAAGCUUAACUCAACAGGGGUGAACUACGCGCAUGGUAUGAUACAAUGAGAAGGGCAUUGGACUUCUAGGGUCUUCCUCCCAAGAACCUAUAAACCAAGGGGAAUCAUGAAAAAAUAUCCAAGUCCAUUAGAAGAGCCUCUAGCAACCUACCCAAUUAGUACUCCUCGAAACUGUCAAGGUCAUCGAAAAUAAGCCCAGUCUGAAAUGACUGUCCUAGCCAAGCGAAGCCUCAGGAGACAUGACAAGGGAAAUGUAACGUGAUAUCCUGGAUGGGAUCUUGGAACAGAAAAAGAACAUCCGACAAAAAAAACUACGGAAAUCUGCAUAAAGUGUGGACUCUGGUUAAGAGUCAUGAAUUAAUGCUGGUUCAUUAACUUGAGCAAAUGUACCAUAAUAAUGUAGGCUGUUAUUAAUAGGAAAAACAGUAUGGGGUCCAUGGGAAUUCUGUAUUACCUCAUAAUUUUUCUGUAAAUCCAAAACUGUUCUAAAAUAGGAAGAUCAUUUUAAUGAAUGCCACACAAAUAUAAAUCAAUCAUGCCACUCAUGCUUCAGUUUAAUGAAGCAAUUACCUUUCACGCUAUUCUUUCUAUUAAACGUCAGCUGUGAUGAGAAAAACAAACCUGGCCUCCCAAUCAAACUACAUCUUUCUGCGGGGAUUUAGUUGUUAGAUUUUUAACCGUAUGAAGACAAAUUAGGUAAGCUUAACAAAACAUUAGCUUAACUCUAUAUAUACUUUUAUAUAAUUAGCUUCAUUCUGUGUCCUUGUAUUUGUUACAAACCAGGUGUACUGAUUUGAGGGAUAUUUCAAAAAUUGAAGAUGUCCUGCUUUAAAGGAUAGGUGAAAAACAAUUGCAGAAAACCCCAUUUUCCCCAUAGAUAGUUAGAAUAUUUUUCUCUCCAUUUUCCCAAAUUGCCAGCUUUGUACGCAGAGAAGAUGCUUGUCCACCUAUGGCAUAAAGAAAGUAAAGUUCUACUUUCUGUUGUGAGGUCACAGUGCUAGACUUGUGUCACCAUGAUUCCUUCUGUGGCAACAGACUGAUGUCAGAAAAGUGAUCAGAGCCACUUCCAGGCAGAACAGAAAUGCAUCUUCUGCUGCUUCCCUUCUUGGGAGGCUCACUUGGGAAGUACCUCCACCUCCGUAACCAUGACAGGGUCUUUAGGCGUAGGGAUCUCACUGAAGGAAGGUUCUGUCACUCUCCAUUUGUAGGGGUGUGAUUUCAGAGGAGAUUCUUCUCAAAACAGAUUAAAGCAGGGUAAAAUCCAAGUAGCCAGUUCCCAUUUGAUAAGAAAUCAUUUCAUUAAGAAGAGUAUAAUGAUAAUCUUUAAAUAUUUAAUUGCAUAUGUGUUCAUAUUCUGCACACCUUUAUGCUGAAUACUCUAUUACAGGAAAAGUUAAGAAUUAGUGCAAGAAAAGGAUCCACUUCAUCAUUUCCUUCAAGCUUAAACUACUUUCCAUCCUAAAAAGACAAAUAGUAAAAAUAGUAACAAUAUUCUGUGGUGCUUAACGUCUUUAGAAAAUCAUGUAUAAAAAUAUACAUAUAUAUAAUCUGCAUAUAUAUAUGCAUGUGUGUAUACAUUAUACAAAAGGAAAUGUUCUUGAGCUCAUGUGAAACUGGUUAUUUUUUCUUUAUAGUACAUCUGAAUGUUCAAAGUAUAUCACUUAUUUUAUUUAACAACCGUUUAUUUAGCAUCUGCUGUGUUCCAAGUCACUGUUGACACAAAACAAACAUAAAACACAAAACAGUUGACACUGUGAUGUAAAAAAAUUAAGGUACAGACCUAUCUUUCUUUGUGUGUGUGUGUGUGUUUCUUUUUAGGGCCACACUGGCAGCAUAUGGAAUUUCCCAGGCUAGGGAUCAAAUCAGAGCUUCAGCCUUCGGUCUACACCACAGCCAUAGUAACACGGGAUCUGAGUCAUGUCUGAGACCUACACCACAGCUCACAGCAACGCCAGAUCCUUUAACCCACUGAGUGAGGCCAGGGGUCAAACCCAUGUCCUAAUGGAUACUAAUUGGGUUCUUACCUGCUGAGCCAUGAUGGGAACUCCCAAAGAUAUGGUAUACAUACACAACGGAAUACUAUUCAGCCAUAAAAAAGAACAAAACAAUGCCAUCUGUAGCAACAUGGAUGGAACUAGAGACUCGCACACUGAGUGAAGUAAGUCAGCAAGAGAAAGACAAAUACCAUAUGAUAUCACAUAGCUGGAAUCUAAUAUAUGGCACAAAUGAAACUUUCCACAGAAAAGAAAAUCAUGAACAUGGAGAACAGACUUGUGGUUGCCAAGAGGGAGGGGGAGGGAGCGGGAUGGAUUGGGAAUUUGGGGUUAAUAGAUGCAAAGUAUUGCCUUUGGAAUGGAUUAGCAAUGAGAUCCUGCUGUAUAGCACUGGGAACUAUAUCUAGUCACUUAGGAUGGAGCAUGAUAAUGUGAGAAAAAGAAUGCAUACAUGUAUGUGUGAUUGGGUCACCUUGCUGAACAGUAGAAAAUUGACAGAACACUGUAAACCAGCUGCAAUGGAAAAAAAUGAAAAUCAUUAUAGAAGGAAAAAAAGAAGAGAAAACAGACACACAGGGAGAUCGCCCUGUGACAGGGCAGGAGUGGGGGCACAGAGAUUACAGCGAUGCAUCUACAAAGCAAGGAAAAUCAAUGCCCUGAAAUCAGCACCUUGACGUCAGACUUUCAUAAAUGCUCCAAGUCCUUUGUGUGUGGUCCUUUGUUACAGUGGCCCUAGGAAGCUAAUGGGGAUGGUGGGGAUGUACACAAACAGGAAUUUCUAUAAGAACGGAUGCGGUUUCAAUCGCGCCUUUUAAAAUGCUGGUACACACCAGCCCUUCCCUGUCAAAAUGGUGGUCCUCGAUGUAAAAUUAGAAAGCACAAACAAUAAAGACAGGGAUCCGGGAGGCAAUGGGAUUUCAUUAUUUUCUUGUUGUUUAUUGGCUGUUCCAAUACUUUGCACUGCAUUCGUGCAUUCAACAAGGUGGUUGAUCAUUCUGAUUACAGGAUACAGGUUUUGUUAGUGAGCUUGCCAGCCAUGGCUAAAAAGCAACAUAAAACUAAAGAUGUGUGAAAUGGAAUUACCAGUCACAGACCGGAGAGGUUUCCCAAACAUAAGCAAGCUGCCUCCGACAAGCCUCUUCCUUCCCCUGACUUUCCCCUUGAUUGUCCAGUCUUUUCAAAGUCAAACUGCAUGGAAGUGCUCUAAUCUUUGAAUAUGCAGCUGCUUCAGACUUUAUACACCAUGCAGGCACCCAAUUUAUUCCUGUUCCAAGGAGCACAUCCAGGGAGGUAACAGCCGCCUGACUGUAAUGCCUGGGCCACAACAGGCCCUCAGAAGAGUGAUGACUAACUGAUUAAACGCUUAGCAUCCCAACCCGAGGAAACCAUGGAGCCAGGGAUUAAGACUCCCCCACAGCAAGCAUAUCACCCAGGAAGUCAGCUUUCAAGUAGAAUUAAAUCCGUUUUAAAUAACUUAACACUUCUUGAGUCUCCUCCAUCAUCAUAUUUGUGCUACUUUAUAUUCCGGAUGUAUU